This is a long non-coding RNA of Drosophila innubila, 535 nucleotides long. RefSeq lists it as uncharacterized. The transcript has 2 exons. The record is from RefSeq and is a predicted model, not a curated record. Lineage: Eukaryota; Metazoa; Arthropoda; Insecta; Diptera; Drosophilidae.
AGCGAUUGCCUAUUUUUGACAUGCAAUAAGUGUGCAUGUGUUGUGCGUGUGUGUUAGUGAGCAACAUAUAUAUUUAUGGCGACAACGAAAAUAAUAAAUAAAUAAAUGCAUAUAUUAAUAUAUAUGCAUGUGCAUUGGUGUGUGUGCUGAUAGAUGAUGCACAAAGAUGACAAAUUAAUAUAUAUAAUACACGUUUGCACGCAAAUUACCAGCAGCUGGCAACAACAACAACAAAACGCACAGUGCACAGUGCAGCAACAACAAAAGCGCCAGACCAAAAUAGGCAGAGCAGCAAAAACAAAUUUAGAAAUUACCCACGGCGAAGACGGAGCGUAUAAAAACCGCGGCUAACGGUAAACAACGGCCAGCUGCGCAACAACAACGACAACAAAGGGAAAGAGAGAGAGAGAGACAACAACGAAAAACGCCAAACAGGAAAUAAUAAAUAAUUGAAUAUUCAAAGUACGUGCAACAAAAACGACAGCGACAAUAAAAAGAUACUAAAUUAGUACUGCGAAUUGGUGAUACUGAAAAA